GACGAACGCUGGCGGCGUGCCUAAUACAUGCAAGUAGAACGCUGAAGGAGGAGCUUGCUUCUCUGGAUGAGUUGCGAACGGGUGAGUAACGCGUAGGUAACCUGCCUGGUAGCGGGGGAUAACUAUUGGAAACGAUAGCUAAUACCGCGUAAUAGUAGAUGUUGCAUGACAUUUGCUUAAAAGGUGCAAUUGCAUCACUACCAGAUGGACCUGCGUUGUAUUAGCUAGUUGGUGGGGUAACGGCUCACCAAGGCGACGAUACAUAGCCGACCUGAGAGGGUGAUCGGCCACACUGGGACUGAGACACGGCCCAGACUCCUACGGGAGGCAGCAGUAGGGAAUCUUCGGCAAUGGACGGAAGUCUGACCGAGCAACGCCGCGUGAGUGAAGAAGGUUUUCGGAUCGUAAAGCUCUGUUGUAAGAGAAGAACGAGUGUGAGAGUGGAAAGUUCACACUGUGACGGUAUCUUACCAGAAAGGGACGGCUAACUACGU
Molecule: ribosomal RNA, 494 nt
Filed under: uncultured bacterium
Lineage: Bacteria
Description: partial 16S ribosomal RNA
Rfam family: Bacterial small subunit ribosomal RNA
Source: RNAcentral